RNAcentral lists this ribosomal RNA (253 nucleotides) under uncultured bacterium. RNAcentral's name for it is "partial 16S ribosomal RNA". It matches the Rfam family "Bacterial small subunit ribosomal RNA", at positions 524 to 776 of the family's 1533-position model. The record is from RNAcentral.
UACGUAGGGUGCAAGCGUUAAUCGGAAUUACUGGGCGUAAAGGGCGCGUAGGUGGUUGGGCAAGUCUGGUGUGAAAUCUCCGAGCUCAACUCGGAAAUGGCAUCGGAUACUAUCUGGCUAGAGGAGUGGAGGGGGGACUGGAAUACUUGGUGUAGCAGUGAAAUGCGUAGAUAUCGAGUGGAACACCAGUGGCGAAGGCGGCGAGCUGGGAAGAUACUGACGCUGAGGUGCGAAAGCGUGGGGAGCAAACAGG